CACGCGUUCAUAGUGUCGAGUCGACUCAAAGGGUGGAUAGAAAGCAGGCUAGUUGGUGAGAAAGGAGGUGGAACAAUCGGGCAAAUUUCCUCUGAUACUGAUUAUAGCAUGGCAAUAGCAUUGGUUAGAUUUGAAUUCGAGUUCGCAAAGGAUUCCUUGCCACGAUGAGGUGUGCAUAAUUAAAGAAUGCAGAGAUAAAUUUAGAGGUGAAUCGAAUGGAUAUAUAAUUUUUCGUUCUUAAUUUGGUCCAGUUUCCAAACUCAUCAGGCUAAUGGUCGAUGUUAUAAUUAUCGAUGCUUGGACGAAAUGUUAUUUUUGGCAUCGUUCGUGUGGAAUACACCGAGACGACAAAUCAUUUUCGAUCACGAGGAAAUAGUAAAUGCUAAUCGAACGAAUCCUUAAA
This is a long non-coding RNA of Apis laboriosa (Himalayan honeybee), 403 nucleotides long. RefSeq lists it as uncharacterized. The transcript has 3 exons. The record is from RefSeq and is a predicted model, not a curated record. Lineage: Eukaryota; Metazoa; Arthropoda; Insecta; Hymenoptera; Apidae.